GACGAGGGAUCCUAGCGUUGUUCGGAAUCAUUGGGCGUAAAGCGGGUGUAGGUUGCUUUGUAAGUCAUGCGUGAAAGCCCUGGGCUCAACCCAGGAACUGCGUGUGAUACUGCUUAGCUUGAGUGUUGGAGAGGCUAUUGGAAUACCUAGUGUAGUGGUGAAAUACGUAGAUAUUAGGUGGAACAUCAGAGGCGAAGGCGAGUAGCUGGCCAAACACUGACACUGAGACCCGAAAGCGUGGGGAUCAAACAGG
This 253-nucleotide ribosomal RNA is filed under the name uncultured bacterium. Its description in RNAcentral is "partial 16S ribosomal RNA". It matches the Rfam family "Bacterial small subunit ribosomal RNA", at positions 524 to 776 of the family's 1533-position model. The record is from RNAcentral.